UCGUGGUAUGCCGUGAUUGUGUUGCGCGCCGUUUCCAGGGAAGGUGGCCAACGACGCACACGAAAUACCAUGAUCGGCCGCCGCCGCGCAGCCCCUCGCCGCGGACGCUACCCUCGCCCCCCGGGCCCGGCCUCGGAGAGCUCGAAGGACCACCGGACAGCGGGCGCCUCGUCCCGGAACCUGCCUUCCCUGUGAUGCCCACCCGCGUGUGGACUACGCGCGCUGCCGUCCAGCUGCCAUCCCAACCAGGCCGACCUGUGACAGACCUGGUUGGGAGUGCACGUCGACUAGGAUCUUCCUCGCCUCGGGCUUCCUUGGAGAGGCCGCCGGCUGGUCUGAGAUUUGGGUCCAGUUACAGUAAAUCCAGUCAACGCGAGUGUGUCAUUCCCCAGCUAUGCCUGUCUGCCUGGAUGCAGCCUCGCGGUGGACAGUGGGCUGAUGUUUUGCCGUGGGAGCGCCACGGACGGGAGAGGGAGUGAUAAUGAUUGUCAACCUAAUAACAGGCUAACUGAAAAUGAUAUUUAUUUGGGAAUAGGGCGUUGGCGAAUAUGCGUGCCAUAGUAAACGAUUUGCGCAUUCAGGAAAGUAAUGGUUUUUAAAGAAAAAAUGAAGAGGAAGAUAAUGGUUUGGAAAUAAUUAACCUUGGCUACAAAGAACAGUAACAAGUGUACUCCCGGCCGGGCGCGGUGGCUCACGCCUGUAAUCCCAGCACUUUGGGAGGCCGAGGCGGGCGGAUCACGAGGUCGGGAGAUCCAGACCGUCCUGCCUAACCCGGUGAAACCCCGUCUCUACUAAAAAUACAAAAAAUUAGCCGGGCGUGGUGGCGGGCGCCUGUAGUCCC
Molecule: long non-coding RNA, 841 nt
Organism: Homo sapiens (human)
Lineage: Eukaryota; Metazoa; Chordata; Mammalia; Primates; Hominidae
Source: Ensembl